UGGGGAAUAUUGGACAAUGGGCGAAAGCCUGAUCCAGCAAUGCCGCGUGAGUGAUGAAGGCCUUAGGGUUGUAAAGCUCUUUUACCAGGGAUGAUAAUGACAGUACCUGGAGAAUAAGCUCCGGCUAACUCCGUGCCAGCAGCCGCGGUAAUACGGAGGGAGCUAGCGUUGUUCGGAAUUACUGGGCGUAAAGCGCACGUAGGCGGCGAUUCAAGUCAGAGGUGAAAGCCCGGGGCUCAACCCCGGAACUGCCUUUGAAACUAGAUUGCUAGAAUCCUGGAGAGGUGAGUGGAAUUCCGAGUGUAGAGGUGAAAUUCGUAGAUAUUCGGAAGAACACCAGUGGCGAAGGCGACUCACUGGACAGGUAUUGACGCUGAGGUGCGAAAGCGUGGGGAGCAAACAG
RNAcentral lists this ribosomal RNA (403 nucleotides) under uncultured bacterium. Its description in RNAcentral is "bacterial SSU rRNA". It matches the Rfam family "Bacterial small subunit ribosomal RNA", at positions 355 to 775 of the family's 1533-position model. The record is from RNAcentral.